Molecule: ribosomal RNA, 253 nt
Filed under: uncultured bacterium
Lineage: Bacteria
Description: partial 16S ribosomal RNA
Rfam family: Bacterial small subunit ribosomal RNA
Source: RNAcentral
UACAGAGGGGGCCAGCGUUAUUCGGAAUUAUUGGGCGUAAAGGGCGCGUAGGCGGCCAUGCGUGUCUUCCGUGAAAUCCCUCGGCUUAACCGAGGACGUGCGGAAGAAACUGCAAGGCUCGAGUCCGGAAGAGGGGGGCGGAAUUCCCAGUGUAGCGGUGAAAUGCGUAGAUAUUGGGAGGAACACCAGUGGCGAAGGCGGUCCCCUGGGCCGGAACUGACGCUGAGGAGCGAAAGCGUGGGGAGCGAACAGG